GUGGCCAUGGUGUAGUGGUAGCACAGGAGAUUGUGGCUCUCCUAGCACGGGUUCAAUCCCCGUUGGUCACCCCA
RNAcentral lists this transfer RNA (74 nucleotides) under Candidatus Magasanikiibacteriota bacterium. RNAcentral's name for it is "tRNA-His". It matches the Rfam family "tRNA". Rfam says of the family: Transfer RNA (tRNA) molecules are approximately 80 nucleotides in length. Their secondary structure includes four short double-helical elements and three loops (D, anti-codon, and T loops). The record is from RNAcentral. Lineage: Bacteria; Candidatus Magasanikiibacteriota.